GCCCGCGUAGCUCAGGGGUAGAGCGCAUCCUUGGUAAGGAUGAGGCCACGGGUUCGAUCCCCGUCGCGGGCU
Molecule: transfer RNA, 72 nt
Filed under: Pyrinomonas methylaliphatogenes
Lineage: Bacteria; Pseudomonadati; Acidobacteriota; Blastocatellia; Blastocatellales; Pyrinomonadaceae
Description: Acidobacteriaceae bacterium K22 tRNA
Rfam family: tRNA
About the family: Transfer RNA (tRNA) molecules are approximately 80 nucleotides in length.
Source: Rfam by way of RNAcentral